UUUUUUAUUAUAUAUAUAUCUACAUUUUUUAAACAUUAUUUCAACUUAUUGUUAUAACAGAAUAAUCUAUGCAACUGUAAAAAUUGAGGUGGAAGAGCAGAAAAACAUUUUCAGUGUACUCUCUUAAGAAAUUAUAAAAUAUACAAAUGAAUAUAUACGAGUAAUAGAAUAUUAAAACUUGAAAUUAUUAUUUGAUUUCAUAUCACUUAUUUUGAAAUUAUAAUUUACGUUCAUCAUAUUGAAUGGUGAAAUAAUAAAUUUAUCAUAUCAGUAUGUUGAUAAAUUUAUGAACCUGAAGCUAUUGUCGGAUGUUGAAAUACGUACUGAAAAAAAAGUGGUGGUUUUUAGCUAAGUCGGAUUUAGUUGAGACAGCUAAAUGAGAUUUAGCUGAGUCAACUGAAUAAAUUUAUCUGAGCUAAUCAUUUUUUAGGAUUUUUCGUUGUUUUUUGGGGGUGUUGUUUAGCUGUAAGGGAAGCAGGGGUGGUUUUGGGGUAUGUUGCAUAUGCAGAUCGACAGCAAUAAAUUAGCAAAAAAAUAUGCCGCGUCGUACGAUUUUCUAGCUCUUUAGGUUCGCGAGAUAUGGCUAUCGAUGAUGUGACAUAAUAUUAAGCUACAUCAACCAUUGUUUCUCGGUUAGGGGUGGAGCAAAAAAUUUGUUUUUUACGGCUAAUGACAGCAAAAAAUUAGCAAUUAAAUAUCAACCGUCAACUAUAUCACAAAAAUCAUUUUUCAAGAUUUUUCGUUGUUUUUUGGGGGUGUUGUUUAGCUGUAAGGGAAGCAGGGGUGGUUUUGGGGUAUGUUGCAUAUGCAGAUCGACAGCAAUAAAUUAGCAAAAAAAUAUGCCGCGUCGUACGAUUUUCUAGCUCUUUAGGUUCGCGAGAUAUGGCUAUCGAUGAUGUGACAUAAUAUUAAGCUACAUCAACCAUUGUUUCUCGGUUAGGGGUGGAGCAAAAAAUUUGUUUUUUACGGCUAAUGACAGCAAAAAAUUAGCAAUUAAAUAUCAACCGUCAACUAUAUCACAAAAAUCAUUUUUCAAGAUUUUUCGUUGUUUUUUGGGGGUGUUGUUUAGCUGUAAGGGAAGCAGGGGUGGUUUUGGGGUAUGUUGCAUAUGCAGAUCGACAGCAAUAAAUUAGCAAAAAAAUAUGCCGCGUCGUACGAUUUUCUAGCUCUUUAGGUUCGCGAGAUAUGGCUAUCGAUGAUGUGACAUAAUAUUAAGCUACAUCAACCAUUGUUUCUCGGUUAGGGGUGGAGCAAAAAAUUUGUUUUUUACGGCUAAUGAAAGCAAAAAAUUAGCAAUUAAAUAUCAACCGUCAACUAUAUCACAAAAAUCAUUUUUCAAGAUUUUUCGUUGUUUUUUGGGGGUGUUGUUUAGCUGUAAGGGAAGCAGGGGUGGUUUUGGGGUAUGUUGCAUAUGCAGAUCGACAGCAAUAAAUUAGCAAAAAAAUAUGCCGCGUCGUACGAUUUUCUAGCUCUUUAGGUUCGCGAGAUAUGGCUAUCGAUGAUGUGACAUAAUAUUAAGCUACAUCAACCAUUGUUUCUCGGUUAGGGGUGGAGCAAAAAAUUUGUUUUUUACGGCUAAUGACAGCAAAAAAUUAGCAAUUAAAUAUCAACCGUCAACUAUAUCACAAAAAUCAUUUUUCAAGAUUUUUCGUUGUUUUUUGGGGGUGUUGUUUAGCUGUAAGGGAAGCAGGGGUGGUUUUGGGGUAUGUUGCAUAUGCAGAUCGACAGCAAUAAAUUAGCAAAAAAAUAUGCCGCGUCGUACGAUUUUCUAGCUCUUUAGGUUCGCGAGAUAUGGCUAUCGACGAUGUGACAUAAUAUUAAGCUACAUCAACCAUUGUUUCUCGAUUAGGGGUGGAACAAAAAAUUUGUUUUUUACGGCUAAUGACAGCAAAAAAUUAGCAAUUAAAUAUCAACCGUCAACUAUAUCACAAAAAUCAUUUUUCAAGAUUUUUCGUUGUUUUUUGGGGGUGUUGUUUAGCUGUAAGGGAAGCAGGGGUGGUUUUGGGGUAUGUUGCAUAUGCAGAUCGACAGCAAUAAAUUAGCAAAAAAAUAUGCCGCGUCGUACGAUUUUCUAGCUCUUUAGGUUCGCGAGAUAUGGCUAUCGAUGAUGUGACAUAAUAUUAAGCUACAUCAACCAUUGUUUCUCGGUUAGGGGUGGAGCAAAAAAUUUGUUUUUUACGGCUAAGGACAGCAAAAAAUUAGCAAUUAAAUAUCAACCGUCAACUAUAUCACAAAAAUCAUUUUUCAAGAUUUUUCGUUGUUUUUUGGGGGGUGUUGUUUAGCUGUAAGGGAAGCAGGGGUGGUUUUGGGGUAUGUUGCAUAUGCAGAUCGACAGCAAUAAAUUAGCAAAAAAAUAUGCCGCGUCGUACGAUUUUCUAGCUCUUUAGGUUCGCGAGAUAUGGCUAUCGAUGAUGUGACAUAAUAUUAAGCUACAUCAACCAUUGUUUCUCGGUUAGGGGUGGAGCAAAAAAUUUGUUUUUUACGGCUAAUGACAGCAAAAAAUUAGCAAUUAAAUAUCAACCGUCAACUAUAUCACAAGAAUCAUUUUUCAAGAUUUUUCGUUGUUUUUUGGGGGUUUUGUUUAGCUGUAAGGGAAGCAGGGGUGGUUUUGGGGUAUGUUGCAUAUGCAGAUCGACAGCAAUAAAUUAGCAAAAAAAUAUGCCGCGUCGUACGAUUUUCUAGCUCUUUAGGUUCGCGAGAUAUGGCUAUCGAUGAUGUGACAUAAUAUUAAGCUACAUCAACCAUUGUUUCUCGGUUAGGGGUGGAGCAAAAAAUUUGUUUUUUACGGCUAAUGACAGCAAAAAAUUAGCAAUUAAAUAUCAACCGUCAACUAUAUCACAAAAAUCAUUUUUCAAGAUUUUUCGUUGUUUUUUGGGGGUGUUGUUUAGCUGUAAGGGAAGCAGGGGUGGUUUUGGGGUAUGUUGCAUAUGCAGAUCGACAGCAAUAAAUUAGCAAAAAAAUAUGCCGCGUCGUACGAUUUUCUAGCUCUUUAGGUUCGCGAGAUAUGGCUAUCGAUGAUGUGACAUAAUAUUAAGCUACAUCAACCAUUGUUUCUCGGUUAGGGGUGGAGCAAAAAAUUUGUUUUUUACGGCUAAUGACAGCAAAAAAUUAGCAAUUAAAUAUCAACCGUCAACUAUAUCACAAAAAUCAUUUUUCAAGAUUUUCCGUUGUUUUUUGGGGGUGUUGUUUAGCUGUAAGGGAGGCAGGGGUGGUUUUGGGGUAUGUUGCAUAUGCAGAUCGACAGCAAUAAAUUAGCAAAAAAAUAUGCCGCGUCGUACGAUUUUCUAGCUCUUUAGGUUCGCGAGAUAUGGCUAUCGAUGAUGUGACAUAAUAUUAAGCUACAUCAACCAUUGUUUCUCGGUUAGGGGUGGAGCAAAAAAUUUGUUUUUGUGGUAAUAAAUUAGCAAAAAAUUAGCAAAAAAAUAUGAAACUAUUCCAAAUAUGGACUUAUGAAAUGGAUGAUCUGGCUUAAUAGACAUCAAGACAUGUCAGAUUCAUCAAAACUACUACCUAGAUUUUUUAGUUCUCUAAAUAGUCGAUCACAUUUUGCGAAAUGGUCAUGAAUAUCCAUGUCAUUAUUGUAGUUUAAGGUUGUUAGUUCUUUUAACAAAUAAAACUUGGAACACGUACCUUUCUUAUCAAAUAUUCUUUCCAGUUUUUGUAUCAUGUCAUGAGCUACUUCCACUUCUUUUAUAUAUUCCAAAUGUGAGUCAGCAAUACUUUGGAUGAUUACCAUACAAGCCUUAUUGUUCCUUUUAUGCCAUUCCUCCCCUCUAUCAAUCACGGGUACCGGCUUCAAAGCUUCACUACAUUCAAGGGCCUUUAGAACUGAGAACAACCUAAACUUCCAGUUAUCGAAACUGUUUCCAUUAAAAGGUAUUAUGCCAUAUUUGUUUUCAGUUGACUUCUCCAUUAUUUAAACUUUUGCUUGCUUUUACAAACACGUGCCUUUACUAGCCUUUCUUUUCACGUUUUCACCUCUUCCUUCUCAACACAUUCUUUGUUCAGCUGGGCCCAUAACCAUUGUUAUGUAGAUGAAAUGUAGAAUUAAAGAAUGUGUUGAUAUUUUAUGUAUUUGUAUUUAAACAACUAACAACUCAAUAAACGUGAUUACAUAAUUCUACAUCGAAGAGGAAAAUAAUGAAUUGACAUUUUUCAUUCUUACAAAAACCGUUGACAGUUGACAUAACAUAAGCAGUGCUGCCAAUCAUAGAGCACCAAACGGAACCAAGACAGGUUUGUUCGUUAGGUCCGCUUGCCACUAUGCUAAAUUUAGUACUGAAAUUAGUACUAAAAAUAUUGUAUCUACAAAUUAGAUGCGCGCGCCGAUUUAGUACUAAAAAUUAAAACAUGUUCUAAUUUCUUGUACUGAAAUUGACACAAUAUUAAAAAGUGAGGUUGUAUUGCAUAUUAGGUACUUUUGUUUUUUUAUAGGUACAUAAUAAUAGUGAUUUCAACUUUCAACAUGUGGAGAAAAAGGCAGAUUGAAACAUUAAUAGAGUUUUACAAAUCGAAUCAAUGAUCAAUGUUUGUAUGUGCCAAAGCACCCUCUCUAUAGAAUAGGAACGCACGAAUUAAAGUUUUGGAAGAAAUAAAGGCAGAAUUAGCCAAACUACCCAGGCAACCAAAUAACGUUUAUAAAACGUUGAAAAAACGUCAUAAUUAUCACCAAACGACGUCAGUUUAUCACGUUUUUUCGACGUCGAAGAUCACGUGAAUAUGUCCCACCAUAAGUCGCGUCAUUUUUAUCACGUUUUAAAUACGUGAUAUAAAAAACGUAGAUUUUACGUCGAUUUUGCGUCGUUUUUUAGAUUUAAUUUUCAUUUUAUGGUUUUAGAAAUACACAAUAAUUGAAUGGGUCCACCACAUGGUUUGUUUUUGAGAAGUCAAAGAAAAAGUUUUAUAUUGUGAUAAUGGUGAGUUUAUACAUUUUAAAGGUGUAAAGUAAUACAGUUUGUAUUUUGUAUUUAAAAACUGUAUUACUACCCUUAAAAUGUAUAAACUCACCAUCAUCACAAUAUUAAAACUUUUUCUUUGACUUCUCAAAAACAAACCAUGUGGCGUUUACAACGUUAUUCGGCAGGCCCAUUCAAUUAUUCGUAUGGGCAUUGUUAGUAUUGCAAUUUUUCCAUUUAAGUAAAACCAAAUGGAAGGCUUGUUAAAAUGCAUAGAAUUACAAUAUCUUCAAUGCAACAUAUAUAACAUACAUAGAAUUUUCACUUUUUAUAUUAUAAGUAUUUACUGUGUCAAAAGUGAAACAACAUAUAAACUAAUAAAUCAUUUAUUAACAAAUUAAACAUUUAAGUCACAAUGUAAUAACAAACUUAAGUUUAAACCAUUGAAGUUAUAUAAUAUAUAUAAUUAUUAUAAUUAUACCACACACUUUAAAGGGUACGAUUCCGACAACGACUGCAGAUGGCAGUUACAGUUGUCACCAUGACAGACGUCAUUAUUUUGCACUAAUAAUUUGCAUAAUUAUUAGCAACUGAUGUUCUGCCAGACAGCAGUUGCAGUCAGAUGUCGGAAUCAGUCUCAUACAGAUAAAUAGUGCAAAGUAGUAACGUCCAUAACGCCGAGAACUGCAACUGAUGUUUGCAGUUGCUGUCUGCAGUCGUUAUCGGAAUCGUA
Molecule: long non-coding RNA, 5628 nt
Organism: Diabrotica virgifera virgifera (western corn rootworm)
Lineage: Eukaryota; Metazoa; Arthropoda; Insecta; Coleoptera; Chrysomelidae
Exons: 4
Source: RefSeq, a predicted model, not a curated record